RNAcentral lists this unclassified non-coding RNA (243 nucleotides) under soil metagenome. RNAcentral describes it as "partial internal transcribed spacer 1". The record is from RNAcentral.
CCAAUACCAGCCUGCUGGCUGCCGCGGUGGUUGUUAAGUCAACCGCACGGUUUUCCGGUCAGGUGAACCAGUACCACCUGUGCUUCGCAUGGGUACCUGGGUCAACCCUUUGUGAACCAAAACAAACCUUUCGCUUCGGCAGCGGGGCCCUAAACCAGCCCGUCAGCCUGCCGCUAGCACCAAACACAAAAUAAACUUGUUGUAAAAACAUUGUCUGACAACCAAAUUUUCGAAUGAAAAUCA